RNAcentral lists this ribosomal RNA (468 nucleotides) under uncultured bacterium. Its description in RNAcentral is "partial 16S ribosomal RNA". It matches the Rfam family "Bacterial small subunit ribosomal RNA", at positions 28 to 507 of the family's 1533-position model. The record is from RNAcentral.
GACGAACGCUGGCGGCGUGCUUAACACAUGCAAGUCGAACGGAAAGACCCUGCUUUUGUUGCGUGCUCGAUUGGCGAACGGGUGAGUAACACGUGAGUAACCUGCCCUUGACUUUGGGAUAACUUCAGGAAACUGGGGCUAAUACCGGAUAGGAGCUCCUGCUGCGUGGUGGGGGUUGGAAAGUUUCGGCGGUUGGGGAUGGACUCGCGGCUUAUCCGCUUGUUGGUGGGGUAGUGGCUUACCAAGGCUUUGACGGGUAGCCGGCCUGAGAGGGUGACCGGCCACAUUGGGACUGAGAUACGGCCCAGACUCCAACGGGAGGCAGCAGUGGGGAAUAUUGCACAAUGGGCGGAAGUCUGAGGCAGCAACGCCGCGUGCGGGAUGACGGCUUUCGGGUUGUAAACCGCUUUCGCCUGUGAUGAAGCGUGAGUGACGGUAAUGGGUAAAGAAGCAACGGCUAACUACGUG